GUUCCAGAAGCCCUCCCUUACAUCUUCAUAAAUUUGUUUGAGGGCUCUUAACUUCUCUCUUAUUUAUAUCGCUGUAUAUCUGCUUGUUUAGAAGCUCUAUUUUUCUGUUUGUCUUUGUUCAAACCGUUUGUUUCUUACUUGAUUCAAUCAGGGGAUUGAAUCAAGGGUGUAAAGGUUUGUUGGUGAGCCUAGGUUGAAACCAACGUGUAAGGGUUUGAUUGUGAGCCUGGAAAAACAAUCGGGUGGUUCUAGUUGGUGAGCCUGGGAAAACCGACCGAGUUCGUUGUGAUCUCGCAAAACAACAAGUUAGGUUGUGAGCUUGUAAAAUAAGCGGCUGUAAUCCGAGGGGUUAUAGUGAAUUCCCAAGUGAGGCUUGGGGAGUGGACGUAGGAGCAAGGGUUAGCUCCGAACCACUAUAA
This 419-nucleotide long non-coding RNA is filed under the name Phoenix dactylifera (date palm). RNAcentral's name for it is "long non-coding RNA (PDAC_LNC016201)". The record is from RNAcentral. Lineage: Eukaryota; Viridiplantae; Streptophyta; Magnoliopsida; Arecales; Arecaceae.